RNAcentral lists this long non-coding RNA (3991 nucleotides) under Homo sapiens (human). RNAcentral's name for it is "HSALNT0042117". The record is from RNAcentral. Lineage: Eukaryota; Metazoa; Chordata; Mammalia; Primates; Hominidae.
CAGCACUUUGGGAGGCUGAGAUGGGAGGAUCACAAGGUCAGGAGAUCGAGACCAUCCUGGCUAACACGGUGAAACCCCAUCUCUACUAAAAAUACAAAAAAUUAGCCGGGCGUGUUGGCAGGCACCUGUAGUCCCAGCUUCUCGGGAGGCUGAGGCAGGAGAAUGGCAUGAACCCAGGAGGCAGAGCUUGCAGUGAGCUGAGAUCGCACCACUACACUCCAGCCUGGGGGAUACAGGGAGACUCUGUCUCAAAAAAAAAAAAAAAGGGCAGAAAUAUUUGAUAUGAAGGUAGCCAAAGGAAAACCAAUUUAAAGUAACACUUCUCAAAUUAAUAUUUGUAGACCCUUAGAGGUCAUUGCUCAUUUCUAAGAGUAAGCUUAUUCAGUCCUUUCCCUAGCCAGUCCUCCCAGAGGGACAGUCCACCAAACAAAUCUCAGGUUUUUCUGGGAAGUAGGAUGGCAGUGGGAAAAUAAGGAGGAAGGAGUGGAGGAAUGAUGUAGGUCGUGAGGACCUACAGCCAAAAAUAAGAGUACUGAUGGAAAUAACAAAGCCACAACUAUUAUGAUAAAUAACAAGCACAAAUGACAGAUUCCAGAUUUCAUUUUUUAAGAAACUCAAACAAGCUAGGACCAGUUCAGAUUUGGGUUUAGCCUUUCUGAAAAUAACUGCUCUUACUAACAAACAGGAAUUUACCUGACUAGAAUGCACAAGUCAAAACAGAAAUUUACUAAAAAGAGAUGCAUAGAUUUUCUCUAGCUCAUACAGAUGAGUCACACAACCUCUCUGGGAAUAUAAUUAAGGACAAAGGAGCAGGGAAAAUUCCAGAAGGCAGAGUAUUUCAUCACACUGAGGGAGUGGAAUGUUUUAGAAAGUACUGCUAUGCCACCUGUGAUUUAGUUUAAGCCUUUAUCCAGCCCAUAAAGUAGAAGUGUACCACCCUGAUUUGGAAAUUAAAGUACUUUGAAAGCAAAAUCACUCAGAGAGUGAAGUCAGCUCAAAUGGAGGUCACUAACCAUUUUUAGAAACAACCCAAGAGACCAUCUUUGAAUAAGAGAUUUAGGGAGAUUUGGAAACCCACAAAUAGAAUUAAGGCAACAAGAAUGGGGUUGAGAUGUGAUUUCCACAAGAAAGCUCCAAGACAAAUGAUGAUAUUUUCUACUGUACGGUCUGAAGAAAGACAGUGUCAGUGGAAAGCAAAGGCCUUCAUGGAGCUUAGAAAAGGAAAGGUAAAAGUAGGCCUGGACUAAAUGGAGUUUAUUCCAGAAAUGUAGGGUUUGUUUAACAUACAAAAUCAGUAAGAUAACUUGCCAUAUUAACAAACUGAAAAGAAAAAUCAUAUGAUCAUCUCAUAGGUGCAGAAGCAUUAUUUGACAAAAUCCAACAUCCAUUCCUGAUAAAACUUCUCAUCAAACUAGGAACAGAAAGGACCCUCCUUAAGCUGAUAAAGGACAGCUACAAAACUUUAGAGUUAACCUACUAACUAUCCUAGCUACUACUGGAGGUUCUAGCUGGUACAAUCAGGCAAUAAAUAAAAUAGAUUAGAAAGAAAGACAUGAAGCUGUCUUUAUUCAUAGAUGACACGGUCAUAUAUGCAGAAACUCCAACAGAAUCUACAAAACUACUAUAACUAAUAAAUGAGGAUAGCAAGAUUUCAGGAUAGAAGAUUAAUCUACAAAAUCAAUUGUAUUUCUAUAUAUUCACAGCAAGCAAUUGGAAAAUUUAAAAAAGAAUGCUACUUAUAAGAGCAUCAAAAAUAUGAAAUAUUUUGGAAUAAAAAUGACAAAAAUAUAAAAGAUCUAUAAAUUAUAAACUACUAAACAUUGCUGAGAAAAGUUGGAGACUAAAUAAAUGGAUAGAUACUUCUUGUUCAUUGAGUCAAAAGACUCAAUAUUGUUAAGAUGUCAAUUUUCCCCAAAUUGAUCUUUAAUUCCAUGCAAUCCCAAUCAAAAUCCCAGUAACACUUUUGUAGAAAUCGGCAAACUGGUUGUGAAGCUCAAAUCAGAAUCCAAAGGAUCUUCAACAGCCAAAACAAUUUUGAAAAAGAAGAACAAAAUUAGAAGGCUAACAUUACCUGACUUUAAGACUUAUGAUAACACUACCAUAAUCAAAACAAUGUGGUACUGAUGUAAAGAUAAAUAAUUUAGUGGAACAGAAAAGAGAGCCCAGAAAUAGACAUAUAUGGAUAACUCAUUUUUCAUCAAGGUGCAAAGCAAUUUAAUGGAAAAACUGAUACAGGAGCUAGAAAGAAAUUGUUUAGGCAGAUAGUAAGGGCAAGAGUCCUCAGCAGAAUUUCCCUUUUAACAAAAAAAGUAGCCACAAAUCAUUCCUUUUCUAGCAAAGAGUAGCUUGAAAAAGCUACUCUUUUGAGUACAGACAUAGAUAAGCAAGCUGGAAGCUUGCACAGGUGAAUGCCAGCAGCUGUGCCAAUGGAAAAGGGUAUGUUCAACAUGGAGGCUUUUCUAGCAAAGAGUAGCUUGAAAAAGCUACUCUUUUGAGUACAGACAUAGAUAAGCAAGCUGGAAGCUUGCACAGGUGAAUGCCAGCAGCUGUGCCAAUGGAAAAGGGUAUGUUCAACAUGGAGGCUUUUCUAGCAAAGAGUAGCUUGAAAAAAGCUACUCUUUUGAGUACAGACAUAGAUAAGCAAGCUGGAAGCUUGCACAGGUGAAUGCCGGCAGCUGUGCCAAUGGAAAAGGGUAUGUUCAACAUGGAGGCUCCAUCUUCCCUUUUCUUUGUCACCAUGUGUACAGUAAAGAGGCAGGCAACAUGGUGCCAACCCAGCAAAGAACUCAUCUGCAUAAGAAAAAGUUAGGAUGGGGACAGCCAGAUUUUCACAUGCUAUGCAAAUGGCACACCUGCUCCGACUAAUCUUUCAUGUUCUAUGUAAAUCAGACACCACCUCCUCAAGCUCAUCUAUAAAACCCCUUGCAUUUUGCCGUGGACCAGAAAAUGUGCUCUGGACCCGUCUCUCUGCAGGAGAGAGCUUUUCUCUUUCUUUUACCGAUUAAACUUCUGCUCUCUUCCUCACUCUUUGUGUGUCUGUGUCCUAGUUUUCCAUGGCCAUAAGACAACGAAUCUCAGGUAUUUACCCCAGACAAUGGCACUGCUUCAUUUUGGGGGCCCAUCCAGGAUCCAAGGUAGAUUCAUCAGAAGGGUGAGUAUAGCAGCAGACCCCAACCCUUUGUUUUCAUUUUGAGGCCUCCAUCCUCCAUUUUAAAAUCAAACCAAACACUGCGCCCCCUUCAGUCAUUUAAAAACAGUUAGUGUGGCUGCAAGCCUAACAAGACUUGGGGAACAGGCUUGCCAGGAGAACUUAGCAAAUCCCUCUGCCCUCAGGGUGCUGGGAAUGUUGGCUUUGUUUUGAACCAGUUUCUUUUCACAGAAAGCCUAGCUGUCACAUGAGGCUGGAAGAGGUUCAGAGGUAACUGAGGGUUCCUGGCCAGGGCCACACCCUGGUGUUAUCUGAAGCCUUCUGGACUAACCCCAGCCUCUGACAGCCUGAUGGGAAUUGGAAACAGGAUCUCCAAGCUUUUCAUAUCACAAUUUUCCUCCUUUUCUGUCUGCGACCACCAUGUCUCCUAUCCACUCUCUGUAUGCAAUACUGUGGGAAUUUUUACAAUUCAGAGAAGUAAUCCUGUUAGUCAAGAUCAGGAAAUGCCACAGUAACCAGGAAUAUAGCUCAAGGGAUUGCUGUUUUUGUGAUUUCCUAGAAACAUGGGGUCUUCUCUCCCCCGCCAUCAUCCCCCACCCCACCCUAGUGAGUGUCUCUCUCUUUACCCUUGGUCUGGAGAGCACAUGGUAUUUUAAGGCCAACAGCACCACCUAGUGGAAUAAGAAUCCUCCCUUUGAUGAAACACUCUAGUUCCCUAAUUCUCCUCCUUUUUGGCACCCCUCUACUAAAGACCAGGCUUUAUGUCCCUUCUGUGAACAGGAAAACUCAACAAUGGUGAGGAAAAUGUUCUCCAAAACAAAAUUCUAGUCUUGAUACUGUCCC